This 237-nucleotide unclassified non-coding RNA is filed under the name uncultured Cortinarius. RNAcentral's name for it is "sequence contains ITS1". Lineage: Eukaryota; Fungi; Basidiomycota; Agaricomycetes; Agaricales; Cortinariaceae. The record is from RNAcentral.
UUGAAAUAAACCUGAUGGGUUGCUGCUGGCUCUCUCGGGAGCAUGUGCACACUUGUCAUCUUUAUAUCUCCACCUGUGCACCUUUUGUAGAUCUGGAUAUCUUUCUGAAUGCCUGGCAUUCGGGUUUGAGGAUUGACUUCUGUCUUUUCCUUACAUUUCCAGGCCUAUGUUUUCUUCACAUACACCAUUUAUGUUAUAGAAUGUAAUGAAAGGGCCUUUGUGCCUACAAACCUUAUA